CCCUAUGGGGUGCACCAGGGAGGAGAUCAAAUUGGCUUUGAGAUCAUCUGUGAUAUUGACCAUCUUAAGCAGAUCAAGGGUUAAUCCAAGCUUCAAAGACCUGAUUUCUCCGAUCCUGCUCAUCAAUCCCUUUCGCUUUAGAAUCGCUUCGUAAUAUCCCAAAAGGCCGAGCAUGCUCUCGCUUUUUCGGGAUUUCUCACAUCUGCCUGAUUCAAGCACUACUGUUUCCUCCCAUCUGCAAAGCAUAAUUUCGAAACCAUUCAUUGAUCUCGUAGGAUAUAUUCUUUCGCAUAUUAAACUACAUAUCCCUAUAUUGUCUAUUUAUUCUAUAUACACAGCAAUAUUGGCGGGGGGGC
Molecule: ribosomal RNA, 356 nt
Filed under: uncultured prokaryote
Description: partial 16S ribosomal RNA
Source: RNAcentral